UACGUAUGGUGCAAGCGUUAUCCGGAUUUACUGGGUGUAAAGGGAGCGUAGACGGCUGUGUAAGUCUGAAGUGAAAGCCCGGGGCUCAACCCCGGGACUGCUUUGGAAACUAUGCAGCUAGAGUGUCGGAGAGGUAAGCGGAAUUCCCAGUGUAGCGGUGAAAUGCGUAGAUAUUGGGAGGAACACCAGUGGCGAAGGCGGCUUACUGGACGAUGACUGACGUUGAGGCUCGAAAGCGUGGGGAGCAAACAGG
RNAcentral lists this ribosomal RNA (253 nucleotides) under Coprococcus comes ATCC 27758. RNAcentral's name for it is "partial 16S ribosomal RNA". It matches the Rfam family "Bacterial small subunit ribosomal RNA", at positions 524 to 776 of the family's 1533-position model. Lineage: Bacteria; Bacillati; Bacillota; Clostridia; Lachnospirales; Lachnospiraceae. The record is from RNAcentral.